This 345-nucleotide unclassified non-coding RNA is filed under the name soil metagenome. RNAcentral describes it as "partial contains 5.8S ribosomal RNA, internal transcribed spacer 2, and large subunit ribosomal RNA". The stretch from base 1 to 121 matches the Rfam family "5.8S ribosomal RNA", at positions 35 to 154 of the family's 154-position model. The record is from RNAcentral.
GAUGAAGAACGUAGCGAAAUGCGAUAAGUAAUGCGAAUUGCAGAAUUUCCGUGAGUCAUCGAAUCUUUGAACGCACAUUGCGCCCACUGGUAUUCCGGUGGGCAUGCCUGUUCGAGCGUCAUUAUCCUCCCUCAAACCCCGGGUUUGGUGUUGGACCCAAGUUGUGUGAACAACUGGUCUCAAAGACAAUGACGGCGUCCGUGGGACCCUCGGUGCAACGAGCUUUUAGGAGCACACAUCGAGUUGCAAGGACCUUCCGGGCCGGUCUCCUUUACCAUUUUACAAGGUUGACCUCGGAUCAGGUAGGAAUACCCGCUGAACUUAAGCAUAUCAAUAAGCGGAGGA